Parelaphostrongylus tenuis is the source of this 71-nucleotide non-coding RNA. Lineage: Eukaryota; Metazoa; Nematoda; Chromadorea; Rhabditida; Metastrongylidae. The record is from the annotation of a GenBank genome assembly.
GCGAAGAUAGUGCAGCUGGUAAAGCACGCUUUCCGGAAUGUGGGUUCGAGUCCCGCAGCCCAUUUUUCGCU